Molecule: ribosomal RNA, 253 nt
Filed under: uncultured bacterium
Lineage: Bacteria
Description: partial 16S ribosomal RNA
Rfam family: Bacterial small subunit ribosomal RNA
Source: RNAcentral
UACGUGGGGUGCAAGCGUUGUCCGGAAUUAUUGGGCGUAAAGAGCUCGUAGGCGGUUUGUCGCGUCUGCUGUGAAAACGCGAGGCUCAACCUCGCGCCUGCAGUGGGUACGGGCAGACUAGAGUGCGGUAGGGGAGAUUGGAAUUCCUGGUGUAGCGGUGGAAUGCGCAGAUAUCAGGAGGAACACCGAUGGCGAAGGCAGAUCUCUGGGCCGUAACUGACGCUGAGGAGCGAAAGCGUGGGGAGCGAACAGG